UACAGAGGGGGCAAGCGUUAUUCGGAAUUAUUGGGCGUAAAGGGCGCGUAGGCGGCUUUGCAAGUGACGGGUGAAAUCCCUCGGCUUAACCGAGGAACUGCCUGUCAAACUGCAUGGCUUGAGACCGGGAGAGGUGAGUGGAACUCCCAGUGUAGCGGUGAAAUGCGUAGAUAUUGGGAGGAACACCAGUGGCGAAGGCGGCUCACUGGACCGGUACUGACGCUGAGGCGCGAAAGCGUGGGGAGCAAACAGG
RNAcentral lists this ribosomal RNA (253 nucleotides) under uncultured bacterium. RNAcentral describes it as "partial 16S ribosomal RNA". It matches the Rfam family "Bacterial small subunit ribosomal RNA", at positions 524 to 776 of the family's 1533-position model. The record is from RNAcentral.